GGGCCCGCACAAGCGGUGGAGUAUGUGGUUUAAUUCGAUGCAACGCGAAGAACCUUACCUACACUUGACAUGCUGAGAAGUUACUAGAGAUAGUUUCGUGCCUUCGGGAACUCAGACACAGGUGCUGCAUGGCUGUCGUCAGCUCGUGUCGUGAGAUGUUGGGUUAAGUCCCGCAACGAGCGCAACCCUUGUCCUUAGUUGCCAGCCUUAAGUUGGGCACUCUAAGGAGACUGCCGGUGACAAACCGGAGGAAGGUGGGACGACGUCAAGUCAUCAUGGCCCUUACGUGUAGGGCUACACACGUGCUACAAUGGUACUUACAAUGGGAUGCAAAGAGGCGACUCUUAGCUAAUCCCUAAAAUGUACCUCAGUUCGGAUUGUACUCUGUAACUCGAGUGCAUGAAGCUGGAAUUGCUAGUAAUCG
This 424-nucleotide ribosomal RNA is filed under the name uncultured bacterium. RNAcentral's name for it is "bacterial SSU rRNA". It matches the Rfam family "Bacterial small subunit ribosomal RNA", at positions 917 to 1344 of the family's 1533-position model. The record is from RNAcentral.